UCCCUGGUGGUCCAGUGGUUAGGAUCUGGGACUUUCACUGCUGUGGCCCAGGUUCAAUCCCUGGUUGCGGAA
Molecule: transfer RNA, 72 nt
Filed under: Ovis aries (sheep)
Lineage: Eukaryota; Metazoa; Chordata; Mammalia; Artiodactyla; Bovidae
Rfam family: tRNA
About the family: Transfer RNA (tRNA) molecules are approximately 80 nucleotides in length. Their secondary structure includes four short double-helical elements and three loops (D, anti-codon, and T loops). Further hydrogen bonds mediate the characteristic L-shaped molecular structure. tRNAs have two regions of fundamental functional importance: the anti-codon, which is responsible for specific mRNA codon recognition, and the 3' end, to which the tRNAs corresponding amino acid is attached (by aminoacyl-tRNA synthetases). tRNAs cope with the degeneracy of the genetic code in two manners: having more than one tRNA (with a specific anti-codon) for a particular amino acid; and 'wobble' base-pairing, i.e. permitting non-standard base-pairing at the 3rd anti-codon position.
Source: Rfam by way of RNAcentral